AUUGAACGCUGGCGGCAUGCCUUACACAUGCAAGUCGAACGGUAACGCGGGGGCAACCCUGGCGACGAGUGGCGAACGGGUGAGUAAUACAUCGGAACAUACCCAGUAGCGGGGGAUAACCUAUCGAAAGAUUGGCUAAUACCGCAUACGAUCUACGGAUGAAAGCGGGGGACCGCAAGGCCUCGCACUAUUGGAGUGGCCGAUGUCAGAUAGCUAGUUGGUGGGGUAAAAGCCUACCAAGGCGACGGUCUGUAGCUGGUCUGAGAGGACGAUAAGCCACACUGGAACUGAGACACGGGCCAGACUCCUACGGGAGGCAGCAGUGGGGAAUUUUGGACAAUGGGCUCAAGCCUGAUCCAGCCAUGCCGCGUGAGUGAAGAAGGCCUUCGGGUUGUAAAGCUCUUUCGGUGAAGACGAAACGGUUAGUGUUAAUAACACUGACUAAUGACGGUACUCACAGAAGAAGCACCGGCUAACUACGUGCCAGCAGCCGCCGUAA
RNAcentral lists this ribosomal RNA (499 nucleotides) under uncultured bacterium. RNAcentral describes it as "partial 16S ribosomal RNA". It matches the Rfam family "Bacterial small subunit ribosomal RNA", at positions 30 to 523 of the family's 1533-position model. The record is from RNAcentral.